RNAcentral lists this ribosomal RNA (406 nucleotides) under uncultured bacterium. RNAcentral's name for it is "partial 16S ribosomal RNA". It matches the Rfam family "Bacterial small subunit ribosomal RNA", at positions 30 to 526 of the family's 1533-position model. The record is from RNAcentral.
AUUGAACACUGGCGGCAGGCCUUACACAUGCAAGUCGAACGACUGGCGGACGGGAGAGUAAUGUAUGGGAAACUGCCUGAUGGAGGGGGCUAACUACUGGAAACGGUAGCUAAUACCGCAUACCAUCAGAAGUGCCCAGAUGGGAUUAGCUAGUAGGUGGGGUAAACGCUCACCUAUGCGACGAUCCCUAGCUGGUGUGGGAGGGUGACCAGCAACACUGGAACGGAGACACGGGCCAGACUCCUACGGGAGGCGGCAGUGGGGAAUAUUGCACAAGGGGAGCAAGCCUGAUGCAGCCAUGCCGAGUGUAUGAAGAAGGCUUUCGGGUUGUAAAGUACUUUCAGCGGGGAGGCGUUACCCGAAGAAGAAGCACCGGCGAACUCCGUGCCAGCAGCCGCGGUAAUUC